RNAcentral lists this ribosomal RNA (915 nucleotides) under Triticum aestivum (bread wheat). Its description in RNAcentral is "partial small subunit ribosomal RNA". The record is from RNAcentral. Lineage: Eukaryota; Viridiplantae; Streptophyta; Magnoliopsida; Poales; Poaceae.
AUGGUGUUUGGACAGGUUGUGAUCGGGCCACCAGGCUCCGGCAAGACCACCUACUGCAACGGCAUGUCCCAGUUCCUCUCCCUCGUAGGAAGGAAAGUUGCGGUCAUCAAUCUCGACCCCGCGAAUGAUGCAUUGCCAUAUGAAUGUGCCAUCAACAUUGAGGACCUCAUAAAGCUUAGUGAUGUCAUGUCUGAGCAUUCGCUUGGUCCUAAUGGAGGGCUUGUGUAUUGCAUGGAUUACUUGGAGAUGAAUAUUGACUGGCUUGAAGAGAAACUGAAACCUCUUAUUGAAGAUCACUAUUUUUUAUUUGAUUUCCCGGGGCAAGUGGAACUUUUCUCCCUUCACACAAAUGCAAGGAAUAUCAUCAAUAAACUCAUCAAAAAGCUAGACUUGCGGCUGACUGCUGUGCACCUCGUUGAUGCUCAUUUAUGUUGUGAUCCUGGGAAGUAUGUGAGUGCUUUGCUUCUUUCACUAUCAACAAUGUUACACUUGGAGCUACCACACAUCAAUGUUUUAUCAAAGAUUGACCUUAUUGAGAACUAUGGAAAUUUAGCAUUCAACCUUGACUUCUACACUGAUGUCCAAGACCUUUCCUAUUUGCAAUACCAUCUUGAUCAAGAUCCUCGUUCUGCCAAGUACAGGAAACUUACGAAAGAGCUAUGUGAUGUGAUUGAUGAUUUUAGCUUAGUCAAUUUUUCGACUUUGGACAUCCAGGACAAGGAAAGUGUUGGUAAUCUUGUGAAGUUGAUUGACAAGAGCAAUGGCUAUAUAUUCUCUUCCAUAGACAGCAGCGCUGUUGAGUUCAGCAAAAUCGCAGCUGCGCCUCUUGACUGGGACUACUACAGAACAGCGGCAGUGCAGGAGAAGUACAUGAAAGAUGAUGAGAUCGUCCAGAAAACAAGCGGGAUGCAAUGA